GGUUGAGAGAUUCCUUGCUGCAACAGAUACUCAAACGAAGGCAUCCAUUCAUCUCUGUCUCACUUUCCUUUGGAGAGUGAGCACAUACUUACUGGUUUCAGAAUUCAAGUGAUGCCAGGAUUCUUGCAAAAUUCUUCCACAAACAAAUAGUGCUCUGAAGGCAUUUUGAAGGUCUUUGGAAUAAAGGCACAUUUUGUUGCCUCAAGCUUUCCUGCUUCUAACUGCUUCUGAAACCUCUUCAGGUUCUUCACUAAGCAGUUCUUCUGAAUCAACUGAGUAGAAAAAGAAAUAUAAGGUUCAGCUCAACAAAUGCUCCCACAGUCUGACUCGCUUUAAUUGCCCUUGAGAAGUUUCUGGUGGCAUCUGGGGAUCAACUGCACCACAUACUCUGAAGAGAAAAAUAAACAAACAUGGAUACCAU
Long non-coding RNA from Pygoscelis adeliae (Adelie penguin), 421 nucleotides. RefSeq lists it as uncharacterized. NCBI's taxonomy places the organism in Eukaryota, Metazoa, Chordata, Aves, Sphenisciformes, Spheniscidae. The transcript has 2 exons. The record is from RefSeq and is a predicted model, not a curated record.